AUUGAACGCUGGCGGCAGGCUUAACACAUGCAAGUCGAGCGGAGAUGAGGUGCUUGCACCUUAUCUUAGCGGCGGACGGGUGAGUAAUGCUUAGGAAUCUGCCUAUUAGUGGGGGACAACAUUCCGAAAGGGAUGCUAAUACCGCAUACGUCCUACGGGAGAAAGCAGGGGAUCUUCGGACCUUGCGCUAAUAGAUGAGCCUAAGUCGGAUUAGCUAGUUGGUGGGGUAAAGGCCUACCAAGGCGACGAUCUGUAGCGGGUCUGAGAGGAUGAUCCGCCACACUUGGACUGAGACACGGCCCAGACUCCUACGGGAGGCAGCAGUGGGGAAUAUUGGACAAUGGGGGGAACCCUGAUCCAGCCAUGCCGCGUGUGUGAAGAAGGCCUUAUGGUUGUAAAGCACUUUAAGCGAGGAGGAGGCUACUGAGACUAAUACUCUUGGAUAGUGGACGCUACUCGCAGAAUAAGCACCGGCUAACUCUGUGCCAGCAGCCGCAGUAA
This 501-nucleotide ribosomal RNA is filed under the name uncultured bacterium. Its description in RNAcentral is "partial 16S ribosomal RNA". It matches the Rfam family "Bacterial small subunit ribosomal RNA", at positions 30 to 523 of the family's 1533-position model. The record is from RNAcentral.